AAUUAAAAUUUUCAUUUAUUUCUACUGUUACAAGAGGGUAUAGCAAAUGAAAUAAUCGAGCAAUUACACGUGGUAUGCCACGUGCACCUCUUACUGAUGUAUAGAAACUAAAUUUUAACAGUAAAGAUGGACGAAAAUUUAAUA
Molecule: non-coding RNA, 144 nt
Organism: Gossypium hirsutum (cotton)
Lineage: Eukaryota; Viridiplantae; Streptophyta; Magnoliopsida; Malvales; Malvaceae
Source: Rfam